This 203-nucleotide long non-coding RNA is filed under the name Elaeis guineensis (African oil palm). RNAcentral's name for it is "long non-coding RNA (EGUI_LNC025004)". Lineage: Eukaryota; Viridiplantae; Streptophyta; Magnoliopsida; Arecales; Arecaceae. The record is from RNAcentral.
AUGACUUACGAGCUGAUCAUGAAAUAAUAUUCUGAAAAAGAGACUAGAAGAAAGAAGAUAAUUGCUAUCAAAUUAAUGGCUCAAGAAGAAGAAGAUUCAAAAAAAUCAAAAAAUAAUGAAGAUGAUGAGGAUUUACAAUGAUCACAAAAAUAUUUAGACAAUUUAUAAAAAAAAAGAAGACAAGAGACCAAGAGAAGACCACU